RNAcentral lists this transfer RNA (85 nucleotides) under Echinostoma caproni. It matches the Rfam family "tRNA". From Rfam's summary of the family: Transfer RNA (tRNA) molecules are approximately 80 nucleotides in length. The record is from Rfam by way of RNAcentral. Lineage: Eukaryota; Metazoa; Platyhelminthes; Trematoda; Plagiorchiida; Echinostomatidae.
GGCCACGAAGCUCAGCUGGUAGGGCGUGCGCUUUAUAAGAAGCGUAGGCGGUGUCCAUGCGUGGGUUCCAAUCCCACCGAGGCUG